ACCUUGGUAGUUCAGUGGUAGAAUUCCUGCCUUACAUCCAGGAGAUCUGGGUUCAAUUCCUGAUCGAUGCA
This 71-nucleotide transfer RNA is filed under the name Loxodonta africana (African savanna elephant). It matches the Rfam family "tRNA". From Rfam's summary of the family: Transfer RNA (tRNA) molecules are approximately 80 nucleotides in length. Their secondary structure includes four short double-helical elements and three loops (D, anti-codon, and T loops). The record is from Rfam by way of RNAcentral. Lineage: Eukaryota; Metazoa; Chordata; Mammalia; Proboscidea; Elephantidae.